GAGUUUGAUCCUGGCUCAGGAUGAACGCUGGCGGCGUGCCUAAUACAUGCAAGUAGAACGCUGAAGCUUGGUGCUUGCACCGAGCGGAUGAGUUGCGAACGGGUGAGUAACGCGUAGGUAACCCGCCUGGGUAGCGGGGGAUAACUAUUGGAACGAUAGCUAAUACCGCAUAACAGUAGAUAUUGCAUGAUAUCUGCUUGAAAGGUGCAAUUGCAUCACUACCAGAUGGACCUGCGUUGUAUUAGCUAGUCGGUGAGGUAACGGCUCACCAAGGCGACGAUACAUAGCCGACCUGAGAGGGUGAUCGGCCACACUGGGACUGAGACACGGCCCAGACUCCUACGGGAGGCAGCAGUAGGGAAUCUUCGGCAAUGGGGGGAACCCGUGACCGAGCAACGCCGCGUGAGUGAAGAAGGUUUUCGGAUCGUAAAGCUCUGUUAUAAGAGAAGAACGAGUGUGAGAGUGGAAAGUUCACACUGUGACGGUAUCUUACCAGAAAGGGACGG
Molecule: ribosomal RNA, 506 nt
Filed under: uncultured microorganism
Description: bacterial SSU rRNA
Rfam family: Bacterial small subunit ribosomal RNA
Source: RNAcentral